Non-coding RNA from Physcomitrium patens, 1008 nucleotides. The record is from RefSeq and is a predicted model, not a curated record. Lineage: Eukaryota; Viridiplantae; Streptophyta; Bryopsida; Funariales; Funariaceae.
AUUUUAUUGUUUUCUGCGUAAAUAUAAACUUAGUCAGAAUCCUUCUUAUUUUGAUGCAUCGUUGAAUUCAAUGCCUUUACAUUAUUGUAAUUAUAAACAAUGACUUAUUUAAGAGAGAAUGACAUACAGGAUAGUUUCAAUUACUUUGACAACGAUUGUAAAUGCAAGUUAAAUAAAGAAGAAAUUGUAUGUGCAGUUAUAUCUCUUUUUGGAGCACCUCCUUCCAAGGUGAAAAUUGAUAUGUUUUUAUUACUCAAAUGUGAAAAAGUGUCAUUUUAUUUUCCUUGAACAAGUGUAACGUGGUAAACCCAGCAGGUUGAAUUGAAAGCAAUCAUGAAAAUUGCAAUUAGAAAACAUGUCAGUUGGCCGCUAUUUAAUGCUAUUGCUAAAAAGCAACUACUUCAAUACAAUGAGUUCCCUUGUGACAAUGAGAUCAUUCAAAAAGCUUUUGACAGUUUCUUCAAUAAAGUUUUAAUCAAUCAUCUCAGGGGCAGCGUCAUUGAAAUAAUGAAAAAUCACCAAAUCAGGGUCUUCACUGGAAACCCUUAUUUCAAGAGAAUUAUUCCUAUCAGUUACCAAACAAUAUGUUCCAUCUUUAGAUGAAAAGAGCAUAUGCAAUGCUUUUUCAGAACUUGAUUCAGACAAAGAUGGAACUUUGAACUUCUUUGAUUUUGCUUCAGCUUUACAAUCUGAUGUGCCAUAAGUCACUUGAUUUGUUUCAUCACACAUCCAGCAUUGAAUAAGAACAUGGAUUCAUGAUUCACAUGUAAAAUCACAUUGUAAAGUACCUUUAACUUCGUAUUUCAGAAAACGAAAAUAUUCACCAAAUUGCAACAAUUGUUUUGGAAAAUCACAUUGUAGAAGUGACAAUCUAAUUUUGCAAGAUGCACUAGAUUUUCAUAUAUUUCUUAUAACAUAGAUGAUAAACAAUGUUCAACUUUUAAUAUCUAUAAAAAAGUAAAAAAUAAAAAGCAUUCUCAUUAUAUUAAUAAAUUUCCUACUUUCCCA